Cinara cedri is the source of this 287-nucleotide non-coding RNA. NCBI's taxonomy places the organism in Eukaryota, Metazoa, Arthropoda, Insecta, Hemiptera, Aphididae. The record is from the annotation of a GenBank genome assembly.
UAAAAAAUAAAUGACAGCUGUUCAUCGGAACCAUUACAUGUGUCACCAAAUGUAGACCACCCGCGAACCGGUCGGUAAUUGGGAAUCAACUCGUAGACGUCCCCGUGACAUACGGAUUCGAGCCGUGAUUCGCCGAUACCCAAUUAGCCGACUGCACGUUCCACUAACGCAUAAACCGGUAUCCGACAAUAACGGAAAAGUUUUCGAUUCGCCGACUGAUCGAAAUUUUACAAAAGGCGAAAUGCAAAAACAAUUUUUAUGCGGAAGUCUAGAAUGUUAUACGGUCU